RNAcentral lists this ribosomal RNA (460 nucleotides) under uncultured bacterium. RNAcentral's name for it is "partial 16S ribosomal RNA". It matches the Rfam family "Bacterial small subunit ribosomal RNA", at positions 338 to 795 of the family's 1533-position model. The record is from RNAcentral.
CCUACGGGUGGCAGCAGUGAGGAAUAUUGGUCAAUGGACGAGAGUCUGAACCAGCCAAGUAGCGUGAAGGAUGACUGCCCUAUGGGUUGUAAACUUCUUUUAUAAAGGAAUAAAACGAGGCACGUGUGCCUUUUUGCAUGUACUUUAUGAAUAAGGAUCGGCUAACUCCGUGCCAGCAGCCGCGGUAAUACGGAGGAUCCGAGCGUUAUCCGGAUUUAUUGGGUUUAAAGGGUGCGUAGAUGGGUUGUUAAGUCAGUUGUGAAAGUUUGCGGCUCAACCGUAAAAUUGCAAUUGAUACUGGCAGUCUUGAGUACAGUUGAGGUAGGCGGAAUUCGUGGUGUAGCGGUGAAAUGCUUAGAUAUCACGAAGAACCCCGAUGGCGAAGGCAGCUUACUAAACUGUAACUGACAUUGAGGCUCGAAAGUGUGGGUAGCAAACAGGAUUAGAUACCCUUGUAGUC